UACGUAGGUGGCAAGCGUUGUCCGGAUUUAUUGGGUUUAAAGGGUGCGUAGGCGGCUUUGUAAGUCAGUGGUGAAAUACGGCAGCUCAACUGUCAGGGUGCCAUUGAUACUGCGGAGCUUGAGUACAGAUGAGGUAGGCGGAAUUGACGGUGUAGCGGUGAAAUGCUUAGAUAUCGUCAAGAACACCGAUAGCGAAGGCAGCUUACUGGGCUGUAACUGACGCUGAGGCACGAAAGUGUGGGGAUCAAACAGG
Molecule: ribosomal RNA, 253 nt
Filed under: uncultured bacterium
Lineage: Bacteria
Description: partial 16S ribosomal RNA
Rfam family: Bacterial small subunit ribosomal RNA
Source: RNAcentral